This 253-nucleotide ribosomal RNA is filed under the name uncultured bacterium. RNAcentral describes it as "partial 16S ribosomal RNA". It matches the Rfam family "Bacterial small subunit ribosomal RNA", at positions 524 to 776 of the family's 1533-position model. The record is from RNAcentral.
UACGUAGGGUGCAAGCGUUAAUCGGAAUUACUGGGCGUAAAGCGUGCGUAGUCGGUUAUUUAAGUCGGGCGUGAAAGCCCCGGGCUCAACCUGGGAAUUGCAUUCGAUACUGGAUAGCUAGAGUUCGGCAGAGGGAAGCGGAAUUUCCGGUGUAGCGGUGAAAUGCGUAGAUAUCGGAAGGAACAUCAGUGGCGAAAGCGGCUUCCUGGACCAGAACUGACGAUCAGGCACGAAAGCGUGGGGAGCAAACAGG